Molecule: long non-coding RNA, 730 nt
Organism: Esox lucius (northern pike)
Lineage: Eukaryota; Metazoa; Chordata; Actinopteri; Esociformes; Esocidae
Source: Ensembl
GUGCAAUUCUGGCAGGGGGGCAAUUUUCCGCACAACACCGGAACGCAUAACUGAGGAGCGGAGGGGUGGGUUCAGUCAACCUGGUUGCUUGAGCAUGUCUUUUUACCUGCUAGCUCCCGCAGCUUGACUCAGCGAAUGGAGCAAAUCGACGCAAAUGAAGCACAUCGGUAGCGCAAAUGGCGGACAAUUAACAGGCUGGGUGUCAUGAAUCCCUGACUGGCUGCUCCACUGCCACCGGAGAGAAGAUGAACACUGCAGCCUUUGUGUGUCUGGGACAAAGCCGGCGCUGUGAGUGGGGACUGCCAAAGCCUGGCAUGGUGAAGGAGACGUUCCACUAAUGCAGAACCUCGAGGAAGGACAACCCUGGAUCACCACAACAGACUGUCCUGCUUCCAAGAAAUAACAGACAAAUACGGUUCCUACGUGAGCUGUGGAUCUCCACUGACCAAUCUGACCCUCAGUCAAAGUUGAGGCCCUCAGGGACACACCUGGCCCUUGGAAACGGAGGUUCCAUGGUUUCCAGGGAAACAGGUGUGGAAAGAAACCCUAUCUACACAGGGUGGGGGUGGGGCUGAGGGCUUAUGAAUGCCUGCUUCAGAUGCACACGGGGCGACAGUGUGUGAGAAAGAUGACCUCCUUCCUCCCCCCUUUACUGUAGACAUAUCUGGCAUACUUUCAGGUUUACUCUCCCUCUCUCUCCCUGUCUUUCCCUCCUCUCUCACCCGGUCUC